Molecule: ribosomal RNA, 274 nt
Filed under: uncultured bacterium
Lineage: Bacteria
Description: partial 16S ribosomal RNA
Rfam family: Bacterial small subunit ribosomal RNA
Source: RNAcentral
AUACGGAGGGUGCGAGCGUUAAUCGGAAUUACUGGGCGUCAAGGGUGCGUAGGCGGCUUGAUAAGUCGGAUGUGAAAGCCCCGGGCUUAACCUGGGAAUUGCAUUCGAUACUGUCAGGCGAGAGUAUGUCAGAGGUUGGCGGAAUUCCUGGUGUGGCGGUGAAAUGCGUAGAUAUCAGGAGGAACACCAGUGGCGAAGGCGGCUAACUGGGGCAAUACUGACGCUGAGGCACGAAAGCGUGGGGAGCAAACGGAAUUAGAAACCCUAGUAGUCC